AGUGAACGCUGGCGGUAGGCCUAACACAUGCAAGUCGAACGGCAGCACAGUAAGAGCUUGCUCUUACGGGUGGCGAGUGGCGUACGGGUGAGGAAUACAUCGGAAUCUGCUUUUUCGUGGGUGAUAACGUAGGGAAACUUACGCUAAUACCGCAUACGACCUACUGGUGAAAGCAUGGGAUCUUCGGACCUUGCGCGAUUGAAUGAGCCGAUGUCGGAUUAGCUAGUUGGCGGGGUAAAGGCCCACCAAGGCGACGAUCCGUAGCUGGUCUGAGAGGAUGAUCAGCCACACUGGAACUGAGACACGGUCCAGACUCCUACGGGAGGCAGAAGUCGGGAAUAUUGGACAAUGGGCGCAAGCCUGAUCCAGCCAUACCGCGUGAGUGAAGAAGGCCUUCGGGUUGUAAAGCCCUUUUGUUGGGAAAGAAAAGCAGCAGGUUAAUACCCCGCUGUUCUGACGGUACCCAAAGAAUAAGCACCGGCUAACUUCGUG
This 492-nucleotide ribosomal RNA is filed under the name uncultured bacterium. Its description in RNAcentral is "partial 16S ribosomal RNA". It matches the Rfam family "Bacterial small subunit ribosomal RNA", at positions 29 to 507 of the family's 1533-position model. The record is from RNAcentral.